RNAcentral lists this unclassified non-coding RNA (206 nucleotides) under uncultured Bacteroidota bacterium. RNAcentral describes it as "uncultured Bacteroidetes bacterium 16S-23S ribosomal RNA intergenic spacer". The record is from RNAcentral. Lineage: Bacteria; Pseudomonadati; Bacteroidota.
CUGGAGAAAAUUAAUUCGUCGGCCCGAACCUUUACAGGGAAUGGUCGCUUAUCCGUCUGGUUUACUUCAUUAUUAUAAAACUCUGAGUUCAAAGUUCAAAGUUCAAAGUUCAAGGUUCAAACCUGGAACAUGGAACCUGAAACCUGGAACUCAAAAGGUUCUUUGACAUGUUGUGAAAAAAGUUAGUAAAAUUUGAGAAUUAACUC